GACGAACGCUGGCGGCGUGCCUAAUACAUGCAAGUAGAACGCACAGUUUAUACCGUAGCUUGCUACACCAUAAACUGUGAGUUGCGAACGGGUGAGUAACGCGUAGGUAACCUGCCUGGUAGCGGGGGAUAACUAUUGGAAACGAUAGCUAAUACCGCAUAAUAUUGAUUAUUGCAUGAUAAUUGAUUGAAAGAUGCUAUUGCAUCACUACCAGAUGGACCUGCGUUGUAUUAGCUAGUAGGUGAGGUAACGGCUCACCUAGGCGACGAUACAUAGCCGACCUGAGAGGGUGAUCGGCCACACUGGGACUGAGACACGGCCCAGACUCCUACGGGAGGCAGCAGUAGGGAAUCUUCGGCAAUGGACGAAAGUCUGACCGAGCAACGCCGCGUGAGUGAAGAAGGUUUUCGGAUCGUAAAGCUCUGUUGUAAGAGAAGAACGGGUGUGAGAGUGGAAAAUUCACACUGUGACGGUAUCUUACCAGAAAGGGACGGCUAACUACGUG
Molecule: ribosomal RNA, 505 nt
Filed under: uncultured bacterium
Lineage: Bacteria
Description: partial 16S ribosomal RNA
Rfam family: Bacterial small subunit ribosomal RNA
Source: RNAcentral